UGCAUAUCAAAAAGCGGAGGAAAAGAAACCAACAGGGAUUGCCUUAGUAGCGGCGAGUGAAGCGGCAAAAGCUCAAAUUUGAAAUCUGGCUCUUUCAGAGUCCGAGUUGUAAUUUGAAGAAGGUAUCUUUGGGUCUGGCUCUUGUCUAUGUUUCUUGGAACAGAACGUCACAGAGGGUGAGAAUCCCGUGCGAUGAGAUGAUCCAGGCCUAUGUAAAGUUCCUUCGAAGAGUCGAGUUGUUUGGGAAUGCAGCUCUAAGUGGGUGGUAAAUUCCAUCUAAAGCUAAAUAUUGGCGAGAGACCGAUAGCGAACAAGUACAGUGAUGGAAAGAUGAAAAGAACUUUGAAAAGAGAGUGAAAAAGUACGUGAAAUUGUUGAAAGGGAAGGGCUUGAGAUCAGACUUGGUAUUUUGUAUGUUACUUCUUCGGGGGUGGCCUCUACAGUUUAUCGGGCCAGCAUCAGUUUGGGCGGUAGGAGAAUUGCGUUGGAAUGUGGCACGGCUUCGGUUGUGUGUUAUAGCCUUCGUCGAUACUGCCAGCCUAGACUGAGGACUGCGGUUUAUACCUAGGAUGUUGGCAUAAUGAUCUUAAGUCGCCCGUCUUGAACCACGGACCC
Molecule: ribosomal RNA, 615 nt
Filed under: Candida tropicalis
Lineage: Eukaryota; Fungi; Ascomycota; Pichiomycetes; Serinales; Debaryomycetaceae
Description: eukaryotic LSU rRNA
Rfam family: Eukaryotic large subunit ribosomal RNA
Source: RNAcentral